UUAUCAAGCACGAAUCAAGCGAACCUAACAAAAUCAAACAUACAAAGCAAUCAUAAACACACAUGACAAAACCCAACCCCACGAAAUCCUAACGCUCUUUUUUCAUUGAUUUUGAGUAGCACAACAUGGUACAAACGAGGAAUGCGGAAUCAAAAUAACAAAACGGGACAAGAAUGCUACCAAACAUCGUAACAAAUCUGGUUCAUGGUAAUGGUAAAGGAGGUUUGAAGAUUGGGUUGGAAAAAGAACACAAGGAUGGACCAAAUGGGAUGGCAUGAAACUUGGAGUUGAAGAAAAGAUGGUCAUGGAGCCAAAGUUAGCCUCUGAAGCAAAAGCUUUUCUACCAAGGAAACUCUGUCAGAUUCAGAACCUUUUUGAUCAUGUGAAUACUUAAGGAAAAAUAUUCUUUUACGCUUGAGCCUCAACAAAUCAUUCCUCUUAUACAAAGGUGUUUUCCCGAUGUGUCUAAUCAAGUACAAAGGUUAUCCAACCUUUUGGUGAAAGUCUUCAAUUUCUCUUUUCUCUCUUAUCUAUAUAAGGAGUUUUAGGCUUACGAAGAAGUCUACAAAGAUAUACUACCACAACACAAAGCAGUUCACUACAAUCUCUAUUCAUUGAAAUUCAAAGAGAAGCUAAUUUAUCAAAUUUACAUGACUUAGAACAUCUUAACUUUGUGUAUAUUUUUGAAGUUCUUAAGUCUUAGAGUCUUUCUAAUUUGUAUUUUGUUGACAACUCUGAUUGUAUAUCAAGUGCAAGUUAUUACCCAAAUAUCUUAAACAAUUUGUUAUAGAUUCAGAAAUCUCUUGCUUUAGUCCUGGAGCAUUUGAAGUCUUUAGUUUGUGUGCUAGAGCAAGGAAGUCUUUAGCUUGUGGGCUUGAUCAAGGAAGUCUCAAACUUGUGUGUUUGAUCAAGGAAGUCUUACACUUGUAUGUCUGAUCAAAGUAAAUCUUUUGCUUAAA
This is a long non-coding RNA of Lathyrus oleraceus (garden pea), 959 nucleotides long. RefSeq lists it as uncharacterized. NCBI's taxonomy places the organism in Eukaryota, Viridiplantae, Streptophyta, Magnoliopsida, Fabales, Fabaceae. The transcript is spliced from 2 exons. The record is from RefSeq and is a predicted model, not a curated record.